This 254-nucleotide ribosomal RNA is filed under the name uncultured prokaryote. RNAcentral describes it as "partial 16S ribosomal RNA". It matches the Rfam family "Bacterial small subunit ribosomal RNA", at positions 523 to 775 of the family's 1533-position model. The record is from RNAcentral.
AUACGUAGGCAGCGAGCGUUGUUCGGAGUUACUGGGCGUAAAGGGUGUGUAGGCGGUUGUUUAAGUUUGGUGUGAAAUCUCCCGGCUCAACUGGGAGGGUGCGCCGAAUACUGAAUGACUUGGAGUGCGGGAGAGGUGAGUGGAAUUCCUGGUGUAGCGGUGAAAUGCGUAGAUAUCAGGAGGAACACCGGUGGUGUAGACGGCUCACUGGACCGUAACUGACGCUGAGACACGAAAGCGUGGGUAGCAAACAG